GUAGGUGAACCUGCGGAAGGAUCAUUAACACGUAUCCACGUAUAACCCCUGUGCAUUUGUAUUGUGUGCGAUCUACAGCGGGAGUGCUUACGGCGAUAUGGUGAGCCCUCUUCGGGGGGUCGGUCCGUAAGCUAGGGUCUUUCACGUCAGUGUCAGAACCCAGGCUGCCUGCUGUGGGAUGCAUUCACCAUGGUUGUUUUUCCCCACUUUAACACCUUGUAAAUAUUUUUAACUGAUUCUAAUGUGCAUCGUCCUUUCGGGGAUUGAUGAGCAUUAUUUACGAAACUAAGUACAAUUCUUAGCAACGGAUAUCUUGGUUCUC
This 322-nucleotide unclassified non-coding RNA is filed under the name rhizosphere metagenome. RNAcentral describes it as "partial ribosomal RNA internal transcribed spacer region". The record is from RNAcentral.